UACGUAGGUGGCAAGCGUUGUCCGGAAUUAUUGGGCGUAAAGCGUGCGCAGGCGGUCCUUUAAGUCUGAUGUGAAAGCCCACGGCUCAACCGGGGAGGGUCAUUGGAAACUGGGAAACUUGAGUGCAGAAGAGGAAAGUGGAAUUCCAAGUGUAGCGGUGAAAUGCGUAGAGAUUUGGAGGAACACCAGUGGCGAAGGCGACUUUCUGGUCUGUAACUGACGCUGAGGCGCGAAAGCGUGGGGAGCAAACAGG
This 253-nucleotide ribosomal RNA is filed under the name uncultured bacterium. RNAcentral describes it as "partial 16S ribosomal RNA". It matches the Rfam family "Bacterial small subunit ribosomal RNA", at positions 524 to 776 of the family's 1533-position model. The record is from RNAcentral.